AUGAUGAAAUGGCAGCCCCGGAAGAAGGCAUACUUCCGACAGGGUGUUGCCCUCCAGUACCUUGGACGUCAUGCCGAUGCCCUGGCAGCCUUUGCAUCUGGACUGGCUCAAGACCCCAAGAGUCUCCAGCUUCUGGUGGGGAUGGUGGAAGCCGCCAUGAAAUCUCCCAUGAGAGACUCCCUCGAGCCCACUUAUCAGCAGCUUCAGAAAAUGAAACUGGACAAGAGUCCCUUUGUGGUAGUGUCUGUGGUUGGGCAGGAACUUCUGACAGCUGGCCAUCAUGGGGCCUCCGUCGUUGUCUUAGAAGCCGCACUGAAGAUUGGCACCUGCAGCCUCAAAUUGAGAGGUUCUGUUUUCUCUGCCCUGAGCAGUGCUUACUGGUCUCUUGGAAAUACAGAGAAGAGCACCGGAUAUAUGCAGCAGGACUUGGAUGUAGCCAAGACCUUAGGUAGAGUGAUGCUUCUCUUCUCUAUUUCAGUGCAGAAAGGGAACAAAGAAAUCUGAGUAACAUGACAUGAAUGAGAAUAAUAUGCAAUGAAAAGUGGUGGCCUGGUUGCUCACAUUUGUAAUCCCAGUGCUUUGGGAGGAUUGCUUAAGGCCAAGAAUUUGAGACCACCCUGGGCAACAUAGUGAGAUCCUAAAAAAAAAAAAAAAAAAAAUAGCUGGGUAUGGUGUACCUGUGUCUUAGCUACUCUGGAGGCUGAGGUGGGAGGAUUGCUUGAGCCCAGGCAUUCAAGGUUACCCUUAGCUAUGAUAAUGCUACUGCACUCCAGC
RNAcentral lists this long non-coding RNA (774 nucleotides) under Rhinopithecus roxellana (golden snub-nosed monkey). RNAcentral's name for it is "lncRNA (ENSRROG00000045847.1)". The record is from RNAcentral. Lineage: Eukaryota; Metazoa; Chordata; Mammalia; Primates; Cercopithecidae.